CUUGUGCAUAUUAAACAAUGGACACGGAUAAAUUCAUGACAUAAUUGUGUUUUGGUGAUAGUGAUGUGUUUGUAGAUCUUACUUUACUGAACAUUCUUGUUGCUACAAUUAUCUCUAUCUAUAAUGAACUUGGCCCAGUAAUUACAGUGGAAAAUGUUUUCUAAAAAUUAACAAAAAUUUAUGAAAAAUGUUAAAAAUUAACUAUAAAGGGCAAUAACUCCUUAAGGGGUCAAUUGACUAUUUUGGUCAUGUAAACUUAUUUGUAGAUCUUAUUUUGCUGAACGUUAUUGCUGUAUACAGUUUAUCUCUAUCUAUAAUAAUAUUCAAGAUAACAAAAAAACGGCAAAAUUUCCUUAAAAUUACCAAUUCAGGACAGUAACCUAACAACGGGUUAUCCGAUCCAUGUGAAAACAUCAGGGCAGAUAGAUCUUGACCUGAUAAACAAUUAAACCCUGUCAGAUUUCUCUUAAUGCUUCGGUUUUUGAGUUAUAAGCCAAAAACUGCAUUUUACCCCUAUGUUCUAUUAUUAGCCGUGGCAGCCAUUUUGGUUGAUUGGCCAGGUCACGUCACACAUUUUUUAAACAAGUUACCCCAAUGAUGACUGUGGUCAAGUUUAGUUUAAUUUGGCCCAGUAGUUUCAGAGAAGAAGAUUUUUGUAAAAGAUUACUAAGAUUUACGAAAAAAUGGUUAAAAAUUGACUAUAAAGGGCAAUAACUCCUUCAGGGGUCAACUGACCAUUUUGGUCAUGCUGACUUAUUUGUAAAUCUUACUUUGCUGAACAUUAUUGCUGUUUACAGUUUAUCUCUAUCUAUAAUAAUAUUCAAGAUAAC
Molecule: long non-coding RNA, 830 nt
Filed under: Mytilus galloprovincialis (Mediterranean mussel)
Lineage: Eukaryota; Metazoa; Mollusca; Bivalvia; Mytilida; Mytilidae
Source: RNAcentral